Molecule: transfer RNA, 73 nt
Filed under: Stegodyphus mimosarum
Lineage: Eukaryota; Metazoa; Arthropoda; Arachnida; Araneae; Eresidae
Rfam family: tRNA
About the family: Transfer RNA (tRNA) molecules are approximately 80 nucleotides in length. Their secondary structure includes four short double-helical elements and three loops (D, anti-codon, and T loops). Further hydrogen bonds mediate the characteristic L-shaped molecular structure. tRNAs have two regions of fundamental functional importance: the anti-codon, which is responsible for specific mRNA codon recognition, and the 3' end, to which the tRNAs corresponding amino acid is attached (by aminoacyl-tRNA synthetases). tRNAs cope with the degeneracy of the genetic code in two manners: having more than one tRNA (with a specific anti-codon) for a particular amino acid; and 'wobble' base-pairing, i.e. permitting non-standard base-pairing at the 3rd anti-codon position.
Source: Rfam by way of RNAcentral
GCUUUCUUGGUGUAGUGGUCAGCACGCUGGGCGCGUAUUCCAGAGGUCCGUGGUUCGAGUCCCGGUGAAGUCG